UACUGAACUGACUCAGCACUAUUCAUUGAAAAGACUGUCAUUUCCCCACUGCUCCACAUGUCCACCUUUGUUUUUCAACUCUAUUCUGCUGCUAUCAAUACACCUGACUACAUUUCAGUCUUCAUCAUUCUGAGUUUUCUUUUUCCAAGAAAUUCCAAUCUUAUUUUGGUAAAGGUCUCUUCCAUUACAUCUUUGAAUUUUUUUUAUUCCUUCUGCUUUAUUCUUUAACCCAGGAUAUCAAGUAUCCACAAGUUCAAAACUCAUCUUCUGCAAACCAUAUCCUUCUUUCUCUAAUGGUUCUCAUUCCUUUGACUUUUUCCUCCACAUUAUGUGCAAUUUUUUUCAAGCUUGCCCUUCCUUGUACUAAUUCCAGUUUCUGUCUGGUACUCUGAUGAACAUCUCGGUUCUGUGGAUUAUUCAGUCCUUGCCUUUUCCCUAGCUCUGCAAUCUCUCUCCUCCCCUUUCUGUUGUCCUAGCAUCUCAUCUUUAAUCUCGGGUCAUAAAUGUCACGUUCCGUUUAACAUCUUUGAUAAAAUAAAGCUUUUGUUUUUCUGUUUACUCAAGGUAACAUCUUCUACAAUAGAUUCUUCAUGUCUUUUAUCUGUUUUGUUCUUUUUUGUUGUAUGUGAAUACCAUAUUUUUUUCAUUUACUUAUUUUUUACGGCAGCAGCUCAAUCUGGAUUUCUUUGUGCCUAAAUCUAACAAACAUAGAGUCUCCUUGGCUUCCCUCCCGUGUCAUCAGAGCCCACUAGUGCCUUUCCUUCAACUAGCAUUGAGAAGGUAAUGGAGCUAGGUGUAUGGAUAGUCACAACUGGUGACCUUACCUGUCAACAAAAUUAUGUUAAAACUCAAAUUUUAGAGAUCACUCCCCCUACUCGAGUAUACAGCCUUUUAGGAACCACUCUUGAGUUUAGGAUUGUAGGUGAAUGGGCGUGAACAGGUUUUCUGGAAACUGCCUUGACAACAAUCCCUGUUCAUACUCAAGCCGGCAGACAAUCUGGCAACCUCCACCCCCUGUACCCGCCCCAGGCAGCUCCGGGGCAGGCACAAGCUCUGAAAGGACAGUGUUUACCCAGCUGGGGUAAUAAAUUCUCCCAGAGCACUGAGACCUAUUUAACGUAGAAUGGGUGUUGACAUAUGUCAUUUUCCCAGGAAAGAGUUUUCUAACGUUGCACCAUAGAAAUGGACUGGCAAAAUGACUCUCCACACAUGGAUGAACUCUUUUCUAUUAAGGAUGGUUACAUCUUGAGCAAAAGAGGAAAACUGCUGCCUUGUAUGAAACUGAAUUCUAAGUGGAAAGAAGAUAACUCCGUCUUCCUUCCGGAAACUUGGCAUGACCCCUGGCUCUGACUGGGAGCUUCUCCUCCCUGUUCCCACGGUGUCCUGUGAACCCAUCAACCACACCACUUACAGCACAAUGGUGAAACCACUGACCUGCAUGCCCGUCCUCUCUCCCACACUAUACACUCUAUCCUAUUCAUCUCUGGCAUUCUAACAUCUGGACAGAGGCUGUUUCCUAGCAAUGGGCUCAGGCUGGGUAAAAUCACCUGGAACAAAAUGUCAUGGGUCCCUUCCUGCUCUGUGAGUAUCCUGCCAUACGCACACUUAUCCACCCUGCCUGCUCCUCCCCUUGGCCGGCAGCCUAAGGACUAUUAAUACAGAACAGCGUGAUCAGCUCCCACGGCCUUUGCCCAUGACCACCUGCCACAUCGCUUUCAGCAUCACGCUCCGCUUUCAGUACAAAACGGGAAGGAAAAGUGGCACGGGCAACACAGCAACUGAAAUGUGGUCGCAGGGCCUUCACCGUCUUGCACAGUGGAAGAAACCCGUAUGUGAUGUGAGAGCUCCAUGUAAAAAGCAGUCACGAAGCUGCGGUAUUGGAAGGAUCUGCACAUCAUCUGGCAAUCAGCAAGGAAUGGACCAACAAAGAGGGAGCUCAGAGGAACAGAUACACAGAAGAGAUCCUUGAGUAGAGAUGCCGCCUCGCAAUCUUCACUUCUGAGAACAAGGGAGUAAUCAUAGGCCAAUCUUGGGAAAUGCACCCAGAAAGGAAGUAUCUAGAAGUAUGGUUUAGAGGAAGACUGCAGUGUGGAAGAAUGAAAUAGAACAACAAUAAGAACAGCAUCACUGGGGCAUAAACUGACAGAAGACGUGGAAGGGCUCACACUCCACACGUGACACAAAAUUCCAAUCAGCUAUAUCCUCAGGGUAAAACUGAAUGGCAUAACAUCCUGAAUGUGUCCAAUCUCGUCUACAGCCUGAACUGGACCAAAGACCAAAGUCCACACCCCUCAAUCUCCCCCAGUCUUUAGUUGUAAUAAUAUAAAUAGUUUAUAUCCACCAUAUUUUCCCUUGUAUUGGGAUCGUGGAUAAUUGUUUUGCUGACCAGAGUAGAUGCUGAGUCCCUAGAAGAAAGGGAUCAUGUGUUUUAUUCAUCUUUGUAUUUUCACUCUCUCUUCCUUCCCCAAUGCUUAUUCCCUCUCUUCCUUACACACAGUAGAUAUACAAAUGUAUUCAAAUGCAUUGAAUCCAAGCUUUCCAGCCAACAUUAAAUCUGAUGUUGGCAAAGAAAUAGGAUAGGAAGCUACACCAGAAAAGUCCCUGAGAUGUAAUUCUUCUGUAAGUAUAAAUUUAGAGGGGGGUGGGGGGAGGAGGUAAUUCUGACUAUCUUAGCAAGGUCAUAUGGGGUGAGGAACAAUGGAAGACCUUUACACUUAAGCCAUCUUUGACCCAACCUUGCUUUUAGAAUAGAACUGAACGUAACAAUCCAUCAGCAGCCAAAGGAUGACAUAAAAGGAUGCCCUUGAUGUUCAACAUUCCUAAAUUCCUUCUCGUACUAUGAAGGCAAAGAGAUCUGUAAUCAUCUCUUCCUAGUUUGAAGAUUUCCAGGGACUACUCAUGUUGCAAGCCAGUAAUUCCAUCCAAUCUAAGAUGCCUCAUUAAUCACUAAGAAUUUGAAAAGGUCCUGACAAGAGAUCUCUUAACUUCAGAAUUGUUAAGAUCUUUUCAACUGUUGGAUGCCAACCCUUGCCCAAUUAGUUUCCCUAACAAUUUCUGCGUCUAGUGCCCUCAGAGUGGGGACACAGUGACAUCUCUCACAUCUUUAAUUCUGGAAGUAUUCUUCCUUCCUCAAAGUACUGACCCAAUAAAUGGUCUAUGAGACAUCCGUUGAAGAGUCCAUGAUAGCCGUCUUCACAAUGAAUUAAAGAACGUCAUUUCCUAAUACCAUUUCAGGCAUAAUUAUUCUGCUACUAACCAUCGUUGUACUCUGUUCGAGCUCAGGGAGAAAACAGUCCAGGGCAAUUUCAGGGCCUCUGUAGUGUUCAUUAAUCUUUCAACAAUCUGAGUAUACUGUCAAGAACUGAGCAGGGACCCGAUUCCAUAGCCAUGAUAAAGAUUUUAGGCUUUUUGUAUCAUCUGAACCAGUCCUAUAAUCCUCUGCUUAAAUCAGGUACAAAGACAUAAUAGAUGCAGUCCCAAUCCUGGAUUGCUUUAAACUAAACAAAUGUAUUUGGCAGCCACUGUCCAACCCUUGAAUAUUUAAUACCAAAUAAGCCCCUUCUAAAGAUCAAAUCGUUAGGCUGCCACUUAGGCAUGUUUUGUAGCUGAUUCAUCAUGGAGGACCCACCGGGAUACUGUUCUAUUUAAAGUCAGCUAUUGCACUGGACCAAGUCAAAGUCUUAUCUUGCUCAAGACAUUAAAUUCUUAAUAUUUCUCCUAUUUUCCAACAGGAGUAAUUUUUUCCCAUCUCACUGGGGCAGAAUUCAGAUAUCUCAAUCGAGUCACAAAGCGAUGCAGAAGAUUCACGGUUCUUUAUAGGCAUCCUUUCAGCCGCUGCUUGUCAGGAGAGAGCCUGGGCCUCCAAGGAAGAGUAGAAGGCAAGGUCCUAUCCAUGUAACAAUGCUGGGAACCACCUUCAUAACUGGCAGCAGCAUAACCAGCUCUCACUUCAAGCAGCCCAUAAUGAAUAGAAAAUUCAGUCCUGACUACAAUCCAGCACUAGUCAAUGGCUCACUGAAGACGCCUGAUGUUUGUGAGACAGAAAGAGAGGUCUUGCUAACCCUUCCCCAUAGUUCCAACACUGCACUUGUGUUAAGACAAUGAAGAUCAAUAGAGGGAACAUUUAACUUGGUCCCGAGAAGAAACAUCAUCAUUGGGCUGUACUGGGGGGUACACAUUCAUCCUUUCCCCAAGGUCAAAGCUGGGGCAGCCCAUUUAAUCAGUCCUUGUAUCAACUGAAAAAGUGUACCAUGAGGAUGUUGGCCAGGGGGUUACGCAGUAUCUGUUUCAUAAGGACCCUGGCAAUAAACUCCUGAGUAUCCAAAUUCAUAGUAAGAAAAAUAAGAAAAACAGUGUAACAUGGGUGUUUUCCCAUUUUACCUCAUCUGUCACAAAAUUUGGCAAAAUUCAGUAUUUAAUCAGAGUGAUUUUAAUGAGAUCACUUGCAAUGCCUAUUCAUUUGCCUCCUUCUAAAUGAUAUUUGCUCUGUUUUAUCCUUUGAGUAUGUUGUAUCCAAUCUCAUAAACUGCUUCAAACCAUAUGCUAGAAAUAAGACAUAUAAGCUAUGCCA
This is a long non-coding RNA of Leopardus geoffroyi (Geoffroy's cat), 4570 nucleotides long. RefSeq lists it as uncharacterized. NCBI's taxonomy places the organism in Eukaryota, Metazoa, Chordata, Mammalia, Carnivora, Felidae. The record is from RefSeq and is a predicted model, not a curated record. The transcript has 6 exons.